GUCCCUGCGGCGUCCCGGUGUAAUUUUCGGGACUUCCGACGAGUUACGCAGAUCAGUUUUUGGGAAACCGAUUCCGUGGUAAAUUGUGGGGAUUGUGAGUAUUGUGUUUUGAGUCAAUGGGUUGGACUUUGAUCCUGUGGACCCUUCGUAGGUCCGGUCGACGGUUUUGCACAUUAUAGAGAUGGAUGCGACAGUGAUACAGGUGGGUACUUCGAUCCGAAGUCGGUCUAGUGGUGCACAUUUGGUGAUG
This 250-nucleotide long non-coding RNA is filed under the name Ananas comosus (pineapple). RNAcentral's name for it is "long non-coding RNA (ACOM_LNC009129)". The record is from RNAcentral. Lineage: Eukaryota; Viridiplantae; Streptophyta; Magnoliopsida; Poales; Bromeliaceae.